UACGCAGGCGGCAUGUUAAGUCAACCGUUAAAUCUUUCGGCCUAACCGGAAGCUCGCGGUAGAUACUGGCGUGCUAGAGGAUGAGAGAGAGAAGUGGAAUUCUCGGAGUAGCGGUAAAAUGCGUGGAUCUCGAGAGGAACACCAAUGGCGAAGGCAGCUUCUUGGCUCAUUCCUGACGCUCAGGUACGAAAGCGUGGGGAGCGAACAGGAUUAGAUACCCUGGUAGUCC
This 229-nucleotide ribosomal RNA is filed under the name uncultured bacterium. Its description in RNAcentral is "partial 16S ribosomal RNA". It matches the Rfam family "Bacterial small subunit ribosomal RNA", at positions 568 to 796 of the family's 1533-position model. The record is from RNAcentral.